This 1017-nucleotide long non-coding RNA is filed under the name Citrus x clementina. RNAcentral describes it as "Citrus clementina (C. clementina) long non-coding RNA (CCLE_LNC006685)". Lineage: Eukaryota; Viridiplantae; Streptophyta; Magnoliopsida; Sapindales; Rutaceae. The record is from RNAcentral.
UUUAAUAAAAUAAAAAGAAAAUUCUAAACUGAGUGAGACAAGAUUGAUAUUGACUAAAUUGAAUUUAAUUUUGUCGGACAAUUUUGACAAAAAAAUGGUACGAAAUUACAAAUUAAUUAUGUAUUUCAGCAUUGUUAGUAAGUGAUUGACAAAAUUAAUAAAUAGGGCAUAAGAAAAUAAAGAAAUACAUUUUUGUUUUUCUUUUGAAGAUAAUGAGAUGCAUUUUCAAGAAAGAACAAGUAUAUUCAUAUUUACUUUUGAAUUUUAAUCUAGUUCAAAUGAAUUAUCCCAACAUAACAUGAUCUCUAAGGCAUUGAUUUGUUAAACUUAACAUAUGAUAUAAGAUACAAUAUGUGUGCCAAAAUAAUUUGUAACUAUUUAACUAGUUAGUCGAGCAUAUCGUAUCAAAUUCGAAUCAAUCCACUUCAUAUCAUAUCUUUAAGAUGAAGACAUUGCAACUAUGACAAAAUUUUGAAAAUGGAAAAUUUUUAAGAUAUGAAAUAAAAAAAAAAUAGCCCUUUUCUGUACCAUUGUCCAUUGCACUAAAUAAAAUGUGAAUGGGAAAUAUUUAUUCAUCCCUAUAUCCAUCAUCAAUUGUUUGAAAACAAAAAAAAAAAGAAAAAAAAUGCAGUGCAAUAAACACAUUCCCAUUGAUGGAAAGUUGGAAACCCCAAGCCCCCAACAGCCCAACUAUGUCAAUCUACAGUCAAUUAUAAUUGAAAAUAACUCACCAACCUCCUUAAAAUAUGUCAUAUUCACCAAUUAAUUGCUAUGGACUUUGCCAUAUGUUAAAUUGUCAAUGUGUUAUUUAUUGUAGAUUCAGUAAAGAUCAUUUAAGACAAUAGAAUAGAUUGUUUUUCAUGAUGUAUUAGUAAUAAGCUUUAUUUAAUAUUAAAAUUGGGUAGUUGUGCUUUAAAAGUUACAGUAUUAUAGUGUUUAAUAAAUAUUAGCUAUUGUGAUUUAGAAGCUAAAUUGAUUUAAUCUACCACUUGUAUAUGAAAAAUUUAUACACAAUAU